Long non-coding RNA from Homo sapiens (human), 3192 nucleotides. Ensembl annotates it as FOXF1 adjacent non-coding developmental regulatory RNA. Its record names the gene FENDRR. The record is from Ensembl. Lineage: Eukaryota; Metazoa; Chordata; Mammalia; Primates; Hominidae.
ACUGCGCGCCAGGCCAGGUUCCUGAGAGCAGACAGCGCGGGCUGGGAGCGCCGGCAAGGGCGGCCCUCGCGCACCUGGCUGCCAGCCCGCAGGGGGCUCGCACGCAGACCUGCCCUUGCCACCUCAGCGCUCGGGUGCGGGCUGGGGGCGGUGGAGCCACGAAAGGUGGUGCCGAGAGCGGAGCGCAGGACAGCGCAGGAGCCCCGGCGCAUCGCGGCGCGCACAGACCCAGGAUUUGUGAAGAGGUGACCCAAAUUUCAAGACAAUGUUGGAUGCAAACGGAUUUGCCAGCAACUGCAUCACUGUCAAAACCAGCUCUGCCCGUGUCUUCCGAAGAUACCAAGUGAAAUACAUGUAGAUGGGAUUUACAUCUGAAAAACCAAGUGAGAAACUGAAGACCAGAGAGGGUGAGUGGUUUACUCAGUUUGGCACAACUGACCCCAACCUAGCCCUCCAUGAGGACUGAGCGCAUGAGAGAUCCUGAGCCACAGCCGCCCAGCCCUGCUCCUCUCGAAUUUCUGACCUACAGGAACUGCAAGAAGUAAUGAAAGACUGCUGUUUAAAGCCACUGCAUUUUGGCAUGAUUUGUUAUGCAGUCGUAGAUAACCAGAAAACAUCGGAUUUACAUUUUAAGGUAAACUUUUUAUUGAAACAUCACAUACACACAGAGACGUCCACCAAUUGGCUCGAUGAGCUUUCUCAAAGGAAACACAUUCUCUGAGCAGUGUGCACAUCCAGACACAUCAUCUCCAUCCUCCAGAAGCCCCCUCCUGUUAUCGCCACUCACAGGUCACCCGUCUCCUGACUUGCAGCCACAGAGAUAGUCCUGCCUAAUUCUGAACGUGGUACAAACGGAAUCAUACAGAAUGGGCUUGGCUUCUUUCACUCUGGGCUGUGUUUAUGAGCAUCACCCAGAUUGCUGCAUGGAAGCCAUCGUUUGUUCAUUUUCACCACCAUAGAGUAUUCUACUGUUGAUGGGACAUAGGCUAUUUAUUCCUUCUACUGUUGAGGGACGCAUAGUUAUUUCCAGCUGGAGACUGGUAUAUGUCUCUUGGCUACCUUCUGCAUGCAUUUCUGUUGGAGGUUGUUUCAGGUAUCUCUUAACGUAUAACAGACCACCCUCAAAUUGAGUCCUUGAAACAAUUACCAUUUUCUUCUUUCUCAGGAUUUGGUGCAUGGGAUGGGCUCAGUUGGGCAGUUCUUCUGUUCCAUGUGAUGGUACUGGGGCUGCAGUCAUUCAGAGGCUCAACUGGGCUGAACGUGCAAGGUUUCUUGCUCACGUGGCCAUCAGUGGUGCUGGCUGCUGUUGGGAGCUCCACUGGACUUCUGUCCAGAGCUCCUCAGCUCACCUCUCUGUAUCCUUGCCCUGUGGCUCAGGCUUCUAACAAUACAGAGGCUGGAUUCCAAGAGGAGGGAAUUAGAAGCGUUCAGCCUUCUUAAGACCAGGAUUCAGAUGUCCCAGACUGUCACUGUAUUGACCGGAGCAUUUACAGGCCAGCCUAGUAAUUUUUCCAUCUUGGGCAGGAAUGGGUGGCAUAUGCUGGGGGUAGGGGUAGCAUUGUUGGGGAUCAUCUUUGGAGCUGUGUGCCAAGGAGUAAAUUGCUGGGCUGCUUUCUACCUGAGGAAGUCCACUAUGCUUGCUUGUGGAGAGUGGAUUGUGUGCUCAGAGUCCACAAGGAUUUAAGAAUCCGAGCCCUGCUGCCCUUGCCUCAGCCUGUGCAUUAGGGCCCGGUGGUGAGAGCACUGAGCCAUUGUGAAUCAAGGCCCCUCCCUCGACCUGCAUACUAACAGGCCAGAAGAGCUUGCUUGAUUUUGGUCCUAGGCUCCUGCCUGUGGGUUGGAUUCCAGGGGCACUCUCUCCUCCACAAACCAGACGGUGGCAGGUACAUCCCCUCAAUGGAAAUUGCCCACACUUCACCCUAAAGACAGAUCCUGCUGUUCAGCAACAAUGUGAGUGGCCCACACAUUUGUCCAGCAUGAAACCGUUUGCAGAUUCCUUUCCAGUACACAGUCCCGUCAGCCGGUCACUUCACGAUGACAGCUCCUCGAAGCACCUUUUGGUUUGCAGUUGUGUAGCUUAGAAGUAGGAGCCUGCACGGCUUCAGGAAUUCACAGAAGGAGCACACUUUGUGCUUGGAGAAGUUAAUUAUAGGAAUAUCCUGCAACCUGCUGCUCUGAGCCUGUGCACCUGGGGUGUUUCCCUGGAGGUCCUGUGUAUGAGGAUACUCAUCAGCAUGGGGUUUGGGAAGCCUAGCAGUGGAGACAACCUAGGUGGUCCUCUCCAGGGGAGUAGGUAAGAGCCCUACAGCAGUGAAAAGCAUUGAAGGAAAAGUGUGUUCAGCAGUGCUCUUAAUCUGAUCAGAGCAGCCUGAACACAUUCUAAACACAGGGCAUUUAGAACUAGGGUAGAGGCACUAGAGCACCAUAGAUACAAACUCAGAUUCUGAAGGUAAAUGCCCAGGUUCAAAUCCAAGCCCCCUCGCCAAGUGACCAUGACUCCCCCGAGUCACCUGACCUCUGUGUUUACAUCCUCAAAGUUAAGUAGUCAGGAAAGGGGGCUUGGGGCUUGCCACAUGGAUGGUUGCCACUCUCCUUUGCAAAGUGUAGUCCCCAAAAACAGGUGGAAGAGGGAAGGGUCCAAUUAGAAGGCCGAGUACCAGCUGCCAUGAAUAUGCCAGAGCUGCUGGCUAGUGAUAAAUAACUGAAACCCAGGGGGACAGCAGAGCUUGGGUGACCAUACAUUCUAGGAAAGAAAACAUGCCUGUUGUCCUGGCUUUUUAUCCAGCUUAGACAAAGAUGGGCAAAGAAAAUAAUUUAGAAAAUGGUAGAGAUGGGCACAGAGAAAGGGCACGGAGGGAGGCACAAACAGAAGGCCAAGUGAUGGUGGAGGCAGACAUUGGAGAAAUGCCUUUACAAGCCGGGGAAUGCCAAGGAUGCUGGCAACCCUGGGAGUGGGAAGAACCUGGAACACACCCUCCGUCAGAGUCUCCAGAAGGAACUGGCCCUUCAUCACCUUUCGGACUUCUGGCCUCCAGAACUGGGCAAGAAAAUGUUUCUGCUGUUGGAGGCCAUCCAGCUGGUGGUCAUUUGUUAUGGUUGCCACAGAAAACGAAUAUAGAUUUAGACAUCUAAUUUGCAUAUAUAGAUAUGCAUGUGUAUUUGUUAAAUAAAAGAUAAAGCAUGACAACUCGA